GAUGAACGCUGGCGGCGUGCCUAAUACAUGCAAGUCGAGCGAACAGACGAGGAGCUUGCUCCUCUGACGUUAGCGGCGGACGGGUGAGUAACACGUGGAUAACCUACCUAUAAGACUGGGAUCACUUCGGGAAACCGGAGCUAAUACCGGAUAAUAUAUUGAACCGCAUGGUUCAAUAGUGAAAGACGGUUUUGCUGUCACUUAUAGAUGGAUCCGCGCCGCAUUAGCUAGUUGGUAAGGUAACGGCUUACCAAGGCAACGAUGCGUAGCCGACCUGAGAGGGUGAGCGGCCACACUGGAACUGAGACACGGUCCAGACUCCUACGGGAGGCAGCAGUAGGGAAUCUUCCGCAAUGGGCGAAAGCCUGACGGAGCAACGCCGCGUGAGUGAUGAAGGUCUUCGGAUCGUAAAACUCUGUUAUUAGGGAAGAACAAAUGUGUAAGUAACUAUGCACGUCUUGACGGUACCUAAUCAGAAAGCCACGGCUAACUACGUG
RNAcentral lists this ribosomal RNA (497 nucleotides) under uncultured bacterium. Its description in RNAcentral is "partial 16S ribosomal RNA". It matches the Rfam family "Bacterial small subunit ribosomal RNA", at positions 28 to 507 of the family's 1533-position model. The record is from RNAcentral.